RNAcentral lists this ribosomal RNA (634 nucleotides) under uncultured Gammaproteobacteria bacterium. RNAcentral describes it as "partial 16S ribosomal RNA". It matches the Rfam family "Bacterial small subunit ribosomal RNA", at positions 1 to 599 of the family's 1533-position model. Lineage: Bacteria; Pseudomonadati; Pseudomonadota; Gammaproteobacteria. The record is from RNAcentral.
GUCGCAUGCUCCCGGCCGCCAUGGCGGCCGCGGGAAUUCGAUUAGAGUUUGAUCCUGGCUCAGAUUGAACGCUGGGGGCAUGCCUAACACAUGCAAGUCGAACGGCAGCACAGUAAAGAUUUCGGUCUUUAUGGGGUGGCGAGUGGCGGACGGGUGAGUAACACGUAGGAAUCUGUCCUGGAGCGUGGGAUAACCCGAGGAAACUCGGGCUAAUACCACAUGAUAUCGAGAGAUCAAAAGCAGGGGACCGAGAGGCCUUGCGCUCUGGGGUGAGCCUACGUCGGAUUAGCUAGUUGGUGGGGUAAAAGCCUACCAAGGCGACGAUCCGUAGCUGGUCUGAGAGGAUGACCAGCCACACUGGGACUGAGACACGGCCCAGACUCCUACGGGAGGCAGCAGUGGGGAAUCUUGGACAAUGGGGGAAACCCUGAUCCAGCGAUGCCGCGUGUGUGAAGAAGGCCUUCGGGUUGUAAAGCACUUUAGGUGGGGAAGAAAGGUAACGAGCGAAUAACUCGUUGCUAUGACGGUACCCGCAGAAUAAGCACCGGCUAACUCUGUGCCAGCAGCCGCGGUAAUACGAAUCACUAGUGAAUUCGCGGCCGCCUGCAGGUCGACCAUAUGGGAGAGCUCCCAA